GUGGGGAAUAUUGGACAAUGGGCGCAAGCCUGAUCCAGCCAUGCCGCGUGAGUGAAGAAGGCCUUAGGGUUGUAAAACUCUUUCACCAGGGACGAUGAUGACGGUACCUGGAGAAGAAGCCCCGGCUAACUCCGUGCCAGCAGCCGCGGUAAUACGGAGGGGGCUAGCGUUGUUCGGAAUUACUGGGCGUAAAGCGCGCGUAGGCGGUUUAUCAAGUUAGACGUGAAAGCCCUGGGCUCAACCCAGGAACUGCGUUUGAUACUGGUUGACUAGAGGCCGGGAGAGGGUAGUGGAAUUCCCAGUGUAGAGGUGAAAUUCGUAGAUAUUGGGAAGAACACCGGUGGCGAAGGCGGCUACCUGGACCGGACCUGACGCUGAGGUGCGAAAGCGUGGGGAGCAAACAGGAUUAGAUACCCCGGUAGUCC
This 425-nucleotide ribosomal RNA is filed under the name uncultured bacterium. RNAcentral's name for it is "bacterial SSU rRNA". It matches the Rfam family "Bacterial small subunit ribosomal RNA", at positions 354 to 796 of the family's 1533-position model. The record is from RNAcentral.